Molecule: long non-coding RNA, 263 nt
Filed under: Hordeum vulgare
Lineage: Eukaryota; Viridiplantae; Streptophyta; Magnoliopsida; Poales; Poaceae
Description: long non-coding RNA (HVUL_LNC015104)
Source: RNAcentral
AAGACCAAGGAAGAAGGAGGGGCAAGGGGUCGCCGCCCGUGGCCGAUGCCGUGGUCGCCAUCGCCUCCAUCUCUUCGGGGCUGCACCUCUCCAUCAACAAAUCUCUCUUUCUCACCAUGAUAAUGUGUGAGUAAUCCUCCUCGGGGCUGAGGGUAUGUACUGGUAGCUAUGUGUUAAAUCUCUCUCUCUCAUGUUCUUGAGAUGGCAUGAUCUUGAUGUAUCGCGAGCUUUAUUAAUAUAGAUGAAUCAUAUGGAGUUUUCCC